RNAcentral lists this ribosomal RNA (493 nucleotides) under uncultured bacterium. Its description in RNAcentral is "bacterial SSU rRNA". It matches the Rfam family "Bacterial small subunit ribosomal RNA", at positions 791 to 1284 of the family's 1533-position model. The record is from RNAcentral.
UAGUCCACGCCGUAAACGAUGUCAACUAGCCGUUUGUGUCCUUGAGACGUGAGUGGCGCAGCUAACGCACUAAGUUGACCGCCUGGGGAGUACGGCCGCAAGGUUAAAACUCAAAUGAAUUGACGGGGGCCCGCACAAGCGGUGGAGCAUGUGGUUUAAUUCGAUGCAACGCGAAGAACCUUACCUACUCUUGACAUCUAGAGAAGCUUGCAGAGAUGCGAGUGUGCCUUCGGGAACUCUAAGACAGGUGCUGCAUGGCUGUCGUCAGCUCGUGUUGUGAAAUGUUGGGUUAAGUCCCGCAACGAGCGCAACCCUUAUCCUUGUUUGCCAGCACGUAAUGGCGGGAACUCCAGGGAGACUGCCGGUGAUAAACCGGAGGAAGGUGGGGCGACGUCAAGUCAUCAUGGCCCUUACGAGUAGGGCUACACACGUGCUACAAUGGUGCAUACAGAGGGCAGCGAGACCGCGAGGUGGAGCGAAUCCCAGAAAGUGC